AGAGUUUGAUCCUGGCUCAGAUUGAACGCUGGAGGUAUGCUUAACACAUGCAAGUCGAACGCGAACGUUUCUUCGGAAACAAGUAGAGUGGCGGACGGGUGAGUAACGCGUAGGAAUAUACCUAGUAGUGGGGGAUAACAUGGAGAAAUCCAUGCUAAUACCGCAUAUGUCCCAUGGGAUAAAGAGGGCCUCUUCUUGAAAGCUCUUGCUAUUAGAUUAGCCUGCGUCGGAUUAGUUUGUUGGUAGGGUAAUGGCCUACCAAGACUACGAUCCGUAGCUGGUCUGAGAGGAUGAUCAGCCACACUGGGACUGAGACACGGCCCAGACUCCUACUGGAGGCAGCAGUGGGGAAUAUUGGACAAUGAACGCAAGUUUGAUCCAUCAAUACCUCGUGUGUGAAGAAGGCCUUUAGGGUGUAAAGCACUUUUCAUUGGGACGAAAAGUUUAAGUUUAAUUCGCUUAGACCUUGACGGUACCUUUAGAAAAAGCACCGGCUUAAUUCGUGGCAGCAGCCGCGGUUAUACGGAAGGUGCAAGCGUUAAUCGGAAAUCCUGGGCGUAAAGCCCGCCUAGGUGGGUUUUUUUACCCGCAGUGUAAACCCCUGGGCUUAACCUUGGAACUGCCUUUGAAACUGGUAUACUAAAUUAUGGGAGAAGGGCAGUGGAAAUUUCCCAUGUUCCGGGGAAAAUGCCUAAAAAU
Molecule: ribosomal RNA, 699 nt
Filed under: uncultured bacterium
Lineage: Bacteria
Description: bacterial SSU rRNA
Rfam family: Bacterial small subunit ribosomal RNA
Source: RNAcentral